Long non-coding RNA from Equus caballus (horse), 1670 nucleotides. The record is from Ensembl. NCBI's taxonomy places the organism in Eukaryota, Metazoa, Chordata, Mammalia, Perissodactyla, Equidae.
GUUGGUUAUAGAUUAUUUGCAUUGACAUUUCUUGGAGUAGUCAUGGAGGGAUUUCAGAGAAACCCACAGGAGAUCACCUGGAAUCUACACUGAACUGGCAUUCAGUACCAAUAGGGGCCCAUUGAGCACCCCCAGAUCACUGCAUUCUUCAGGUGACCCUGUUUCUAAGGAGCUCUAUUCAAAUGACUGAAAAGAGCUCCUAGACCUUAAGGAUCAUGAACUAUAACCUGGAGAAUUUAUUUAUCUGAAGAAGCAUCAAAUAAAAGACUCUUUACAGCCUAGGUGGAAAGGACCACACCAGGACGAGAAGAAGAUGGCAUCUGCUGUAGACAGCUGUCCCAAGACUCCAGACCAGGCCUGUAUUCCCAAACUUAUAUUCCCUCAUUUAAACCUUUGUCAUGCUUAAACUGCAUACCCAUUUUAUACUUGUUCCAUUUCAGGUUUUGGAAUACUAUCAUACUUAAAGAAAGCGAUUGACUUGGAACAGACUGGUCUUGAAGGCCAGUGAUUUAUCAAGUGGCUCCAAAUGGAACUCAAUGGUUAUGUGGAACAAACCUCUGUCCUUGGCUGCCGCCUGGAUGGCUAAAACACUACACCUGAGCUUCCUUUAAAAGCAGGAAAGGAUUCACAUUGAGCUAAUACCUGUUGCCAACCUCCCUCUCUUUAAGGCCAGAUGGGCUCAUUCAGUGUUCCACUGGUAUGGCCACCAAGCGGCUAUAUUUUCUCUUUCUUUGGGGCUAAAAGAUGUCAUUAUCACAUGUAGAAGCCCUGACUAAAUUUAAUGAAGACCUUAAUGCUAGUCAAGCAGGAAUAGCCUUACUAAAUACUGAAAUGUCUUUAAUGAAAGAGACUAUCCUUCAAAACAGAAUGGCUUUAGAUAUUUUAACUGCAUUCCAAGGUGGUACAUAUGCACGCACUCAAACCAAAGGCUGUGCUUUAAUAUGUGAUGAAUCUUCCAAUGUGUCAUCCCUGCUAAAGCACACGAAGAAACAGGUGGAUGCCUUAUGCAAGCCCACACCCAGUCUUGAUUUGUUUGGUUGGCUCCCUUCCAGUAUUGGUUCCCUUUUUUGAUCCAGAUUGCAAUUCUUAUUUCUAUUACUUCUUGGAAUUCUUGUACUAGUCACAGUAUUCAAACUAGUUGUUUUCUUUACUCGGUGUUGUAAGACUGGCACACAAGCUAGAGUAAUGGUUACUUGGUGACUUGAGAUGGUGGAGCGAUCUUAUAACCCUGAACAAAUUUCCUUUUCUGAUAAGGACUAUGCCUAAGAAUUCAUUUUAGACUAAUCUUUUCAAAUAUAUGUUGAAUUAUUAUUAUUUUUACUGUACUAUUUCUGUGAUCAUAUACAAUGUAAACAUGAAGAGUCAUAGAAAAGCACAUGUACAAUGUUUGUGCAACAAUUUAAAAUUAAUUGAAAAUAUACAACCUAUGAAAUGCUUCCUCUAUUAAAAUAUAUACCACUGUGCUCGUCCACUAUAUCUGACUGUUCCUCCCCAAAGUGGACAACUGGGCAAAUAAAUGAGAUAAAAGCAUAGCACCGAGGGACAUGAUGGACCCAGGGCAGGCGGCAGCCACACUGGCCAUGAGGGACAAUAUUUUGAUCAUCAAUGCUUUCUAUCAAAAGCUUAUAGAUCAAAAGGAGAAAAAUGACAAACAAAUGGCAGGAAAUAGG